Molecule: ribosomal RNA, 253 nt
Filed under: uncultured bacterium
Lineage: Bacteria
Description: partial 16S ribosomal RNA
Rfam family: Bacterial small subunit ribosomal RNA
Source: RNAcentral
UACGUAGGGAGCGAGCGUUGUCCGGAAUUACUGGGCGUAAAGGGUGCGUAGGCGGCAUGGCAAGUCAGAUGUGAAAUCCCCGGGCUUAACCCGGGAGCUGCAUUUGAAACUGUCGUGCUUGAGUGCAGGAGAGGAAAGCGGAAUUCCUAGUGUAGCGGUGAAAUGCGUAGAUAUUAGGAGGAACACCAGUGGCGAAGGCGGCUUUCUGGACUGCAACUGACGCUGAGGCACGAAAGCGUGGGGAGCAAACAGG